This 253-nucleotide ribosomal RNA is filed under the name uncultured bacterium. RNAcentral describes it as "partial 16S ribosomal RNA". It matches the Rfam family "Bacterial small subunit ribosomal RNA", at positions 524 to 776 of the family's 1533-position model. The record is from RNAcentral.
UACGGGGGGGGCAAGCGUUGUUCGGAAUUACUGGGCGUAAAGCGCACGUAGGCGGAUAUAUAAGUCAGGGGUGAAAUCCCAGAGCUCAACUCUGGAACUGCCUUUGAUACUGGGUAUCUGGAGUAUGGAAGAGGUGAGUGGAAUUCCGAGUGUAGAGGUGAAAUUCGUAGAUAUUCGGAGGAACACCAGUGGCGAAGGCGGCUCACUGGUCCAUUACUGACGCUGAGGUGCGAAAGCGUGGGGAGCAAACAGG